RNAcentral lists this long non-coding RNA (2503 nucleotides) under Panax ginseng (ginseng). RNAcentral describes it as "long non-coding RNA (PGIN_LNC005609)". Lineage: Eukaryota; Viridiplantae; Streptophyta; Magnoliopsida; Apiales; Araliaceae. The record is from RNAcentral.
UUGCAUCCUGCCAGGAAAGCAUCAUUCUUCAUCAACAAGUUUGCUCUAGUUGCAAUAUAGGAAUGGACUAUGCACGAAACAAAACAUGUUUUUUUACAUCAAAUGGGAAUUAUUGUUGUCCGUCCUGUUAAUGCAGUCAGUUGUUUCCAGUGGUCACCAAUCACUUUGUUCACCUUCACAAAUACCCUCAAACAAGGUAAAAGCUAGAUACACAAACCUACACGUUUCCAUGUUCAUUAGUAUUAGGUUUCAUGCUUGCUUAGUCCUAAAACAGUCUCAGACCAAAUACUUUUAGAUUAGUGCAACAAGGCUGACAUGACAAACAGAUACUCCUCCAAAAAUCCUAUUUGCCGAGUCAUCAAAGGCAUCAAAUCACAAUAAAACAACCGACAUAAUUUCAUAGAGGCAUGAAAAGAAAAGGUUUGCAUCAGUAGAACAUGCAAUUGUCUAUUAAGAAUAACCGGACAUCUAUAUAGAGCCCACUAUGUUGUACAAUACAAAUGCCGAGCUGCUAUGAAAUCAGUCUACAUCCAAAAAUAAUUUUAGUAGUAGAUUAGAUGAUAUUAACAUUAACACCAGUCUACACUCUACAGUAAUGUGAAACAAGGUUUGACUAAAUAUAAAGUCCUACAGCAUGAAAUAAAAGAAUAGUAAUAUGAUAGUGACAUUAAAACAUAGCUGAACUAUGUGAAACUGAUUUUAGUAACGUGUAUUUUCUUUAUGUUUUCCCUCUAUGCAAUAUUUUGUCAAAUCUUCCCUCUGACAUCAUAGCGACAAAGUUACAAGACAAAAGAAACCAGCUAAGGGACUAGAUGUGAAACAAUUAUGUUGAAUCUAGAAGAGUACAUGAAGUUAAAUCGAAUUUAAUUCCUGCAUUUGAAGCCGAAGCUGUGGGUUCCCCAGCUUGUUUAGCUGUACUUGUAGACCCAUCAUGAACUGCUUCAAUACUCCCACAAAUAUAUGCUCACCUACUUACAACCUUAUCCCAAUAGCCAACUCUAAUUAGAACCACUUCAAUAAACUUACGCUAAGUAAGUNNNNNNNNNNNNNNNNNNNNNNNNNNNNNNNNNNNNNNNNNNNNNNNNNNNNNNNNNNNNNNNNNNNNNNNNNNNNNNNNNNNNNNNNNNNNNNNNNNNNAAAUCUCUUAAUACAGAGAGAUUAAAAAGCUAUAACACAGUUGGUUUCUGAAUACAAAACUCCCAAGACAAGGACACAUUGCAAAUUAGCCUACUAUUAUGUCAUCCAAUUUAAUCAAAACAACGAACCUGACAAGCAUUUUAAGAAACAACAUCCUGCCAAAUUUUCAGAGAAUGACUUGUAUCCACAAACAAAACAGUAAGUAGUGCUAAAGAAACCCUUUCAUGUCGCCUCAAUUAAAGGUAGUGAGCUAUUAUUCCAACAGAUUUCAUCAAAAGAAAUGACAGCUUUAUAGUAACGCUUAAUCAAAGACUAUAAAACUAUUGCAAUUACUUAAAUCACUGGUUACCAUGGUGAUCACAGGUACCCACAAAUUUCCUGCUGCAUACUAUAUUUAUACCCACAAAUUUCACCAUUGCAUUCCAAUUGAUGACCCUAUUUCCGGCUGCACCUCCCAUGGUGAUCACAGGUACCCACAAAUUUCAUUAGUGAAUUGGUUUGUAACCUGUGUGUUUGAUAUGAAUUGGGAAAACAAUGAUUAAUUUUCUGGGAAUUGCUAGGAUCUUGUUUGUAAAUUAGAACAUGAUUGGUUGUUUUUUUUACCAAUGAUUUAUUUAGUAUUCAGUGAUUGGAGUAAUGGUUUAAAAAAAGGAUUAUCAGAAGUUUUUCUCCUAUUCGUAGAUCAAUGGAUUCUUUUUUUCAUGUUUGAAAUUAGUUGAAAGAUCAACACCCUUAACCCAUGUGUUAUCCCUUUGAAUCAGACUGCUAGAAAUACCAGUAAAACCCAUAGCGAAUCCAUGUUCCCCAAAAGACUUGUUUUUUUACCAGUGAUUUAGCUGGACAAAGUCGUCUAAGAACAGAAAAGACUAGUGAUCAAACAAUAUCUUAUCAUCAUUCUUCUUCAAAAUCAAGGUGUUAAACCUAUACUUACUACAAUUUUUUCCCCUUCCAAAUACAAGUAAUGUGAAUCGGCCCUAGGGACUUCUUCAUCGGGUGAGGACUUUCAACCUCGUCCUCUCCAAAUUAAAAUUCUAAAUUAAAAUCUAUUUACACUAAAAACAUGUCAUGAGUGCAAGACUGAAAGGUAUUCGUACCGGAUGAAGGGCCGACACUUGAGACUUGAGAGAUCUGAGAGUUCGAGAUGAAGGGCCGCCGGCGCCGAGAGUUCGAGACUUGAGGAUUGAGAGAUCUGAGACUCUGAGACAGUGAGAGGUCGAGAGGUCGAGAGUUCGAGAAGACGAGACUUGAGAGUGAGAGUUAAGAGAUCUCAGAUCUGAUCCGAGAGUUCAAGUCUUCCAGAAAAUUUAGUAAAGACUAGUAAAUUAGUAUACUAAUUAAUAUUGAAUGGGCUGACUCUGUGACUCAU